RNAcentral lists this ribosomal RNA (455 nucleotides) under uncultured bacterium. Its description in RNAcentral is "bacterial SSU rRNA". It matches the Rfam family "Bacterial small subunit ribosomal RNA", at positions 340 to 786 of the family's 1533-position model. The record is from RNAcentral.
UACGGAAGGCAGCAGUGGGGAAUAUUGCACAAUGGGCGCAAGCCUGAUGCAGCCAUGCCGCGUGUAUGAAGAAGGCCUUCGGGUUGUAAAGUACUUUCAGUCGUGAGGAAGGUGUUAAGGUUAAUAACCUUAGCAAUUGACGUUAGCGACAGAAGAAGCACCGGCUAACUCCGUGCCAGCAGCCGCGGUAAUACGGAGGGUGCGAGCGUUAAUCGGAAUUACUGGGCGUAAAGGGCACGCAGGCGGUUAAUUAAGUUGGAUGUGAAAUCCCCGGGCUUAACCUGGGAAUGGCAUUCAAGACUGGUUAGCUAGAGUCUUGUAGAGGGGGUAGAAUUCCAUGUGUAGCGGUGAAAUGCGUAGAGAUGUGGAGGAAUACCGGGUGGCGAAGGCGGCCCCGUGGACAAAGACUGACGCUCAUGUGCGAAAGCGUGGGGAGCAAACAGGGAUUAGAUACC